Molecule: long non-coding RNA, 702 nt
Organism: Manis javanica (Malayan pangolin)
Lineage: Eukaryota; Metazoa; Chordata; Mammalia; Pholidota; Manidae
Source: RefSeq, a predicted model, not a curated record
GUAUAAAUACAACGGUGCUCUAGAAGCACACAUCAUCGCUUAAGCUUCAGAAUUUCAGCUCCUCUGACUCUUCGGUCUCAUCUUGGGUAAAAGGACGCUGCCAAAUAUGAAGAUCUUUAUCUUUGCCCUCAUUAUGGCUCUCAUGGUUACCAUGAUCAGUGCUGCCUCAUUUGAGCAGUCUUUCGCAGAUCCGGCACAGUAUUCAUCAUUUGCUGGAGGUAAUCCAUCAGGUGCAUUUCCAGUUCCUUUUGGCCCUGCUAAGUAACCACAGGACCUGACAGAGGCUUGGCGGGAAGUCCUACUUGCUCUUUCUCCUGAUGAAUCUUCCUACUCAAAACUUCUUUUACCUACCUACUAACACUUUUUUAGCUUUCUAUAUAAUAAAUACUUCCAAAGUACUUUGAAAAGCAUGUUUUAAAACAAUUCAAAGGAGUGCAGUAUUAUUGGUAUUAUGUUCUGCAUUACAUUGGCAUUUUCAAAUAAUUUGACCGAUCAAAAACUUCCAGCUUUUCAAAAAUGAAAAAGAAAAUCCAAUCAAAUAGUGUUACAUGAAUGACACACUUGAAAUCAAUGAUCAAUAGUGCUAAACAAUAGUACUGAUAUUCUCUGAACUAUUUGAUUUUUCCUUCUUUGUUCUUUCUGUUAACAGCAAUAUAAAAAUUUAAAAAAAUAGUUGCAUAAUAAACUGAUCUAUCAAGCAUA